UAUAAAUGAGUGUAAGCAGCAAAUUCACCAUUUUGACUGUUUUCCAAUUGCCUGUAGCUACACUUGUUCAAUUGAGUGCUGCGUGCAUAAAUCAAAACAGGAUGUUUUCUUUUACCUAACAAUGGCCAAGCUCUGUGCCAGCGCUUAAGUAUUUUCUGUGUGGAUCCAACCUAUAGUCUUAAACACAUUUUCCCCUGUAGAUCUCUGUACACAUUGCAUGUGUGCACACAGCCAGCCCGUCUAACUUAACAGGUAUUUUCUGAGACCUCUUUAAGAGAAGGUUAACGGAAAAUCAACAGCUACCUUUCUUGUUGAUUUUCAUUGGGCCCUAGGGUGCAAUUAAAUGUUAACAUUGUUAUUGAACUUUCUUGACAGAUUGAAUUUCCCUGGUUAGGAAGCAUGCAUAUGUACAGUACACAUCUACCUCUCUUCCCAGGGUGAAGGCACUCCUGACAUCGUGGCGUGGUGUAAGGAGGAGAGCAAAGCAAAAUUUGGGGAAUCCUUUCCACUAUUAGAGGGAAUUUCUCCAAGCUGUAUCUUUUUACCAGGUGCUGAUGGCUGCAGCAGAGAGCCCGGAGCUGAGCAGAAAAUGCGAACGGGUCAUUGCAUCAACAGCUGGAAAAAGGCAGUGGCUGUGAACAUAGAUGCUGUGUGUCCCUUCCCGUUGGUUCCAGAGCUCGGUGUUCCUGCUGGAACCCAGGACAGGACAACUCCAUCCCACUGCAGCAGCGCUCAGCCCAAACUGCAGCUCUCUGGGUUUCGACUUUAGGACCCUACUGUAGAAGAAAGGACGUGGUUCCACUUCCCAGAGAGGUUUCCCUUCCCACCCCUGCGCCCUCCAGGCUCUCUCACUCCUCGCACAGAGGGCUGCAGAGCUCCGGGAUCCCACAGCCUCAUCCCAGAGCCCCGGGGAUGGGACCCCAUGUUAUCCAUGAGCAACUUUGUCCGUGGGCCUCCAAUUACUCUCAGUGCUCUGAGCUCUGUCACAUCGCCUUCUCAUCAGGGACAGCACCGAUGGGCUCUUUCAUUCCCCCCCCCCCCCACCCCCUCUUUUUAUUUUCUUGUGCUCACGGUUGCGUUCUCCUUUAUGUUUUUAAUGAUUGUGCACAGGAGCCCUAAUGCUGCAGCGGGGACCUGAGGCUCUCAGCCCAUCCUGCAUCACAAAGCACUGCAUCACAUCCCCUGCACAGCCCCAUCCCUCCCCACGCAGAGCCUCCCCAUGGCUGCAACCCCGGCUGAAACUCCGGUAUUGAGUGAGCCCUACACCUCCCACCCCCCCAUCCCAAAUCCGGGGCCAUUUGAUUUGAUUUGAUCCGUUCCAACCCGUUUUCUCUACACCAAAUCAAACAGGAGAGGAGAUAACGAAACCUAUGGCUCGUAUGAAAGAAACAUUUCACAAUUAGAAAAAAAAAAAAAAGAAAGUUAAUAAAUGGCCGAGCCCCAACAGAUGGGGGUGUGUGGAAUUUGCAUUUCUCAGAUUAACAUGCACGAGCGAGGAUAGAAAACGCUCUUGCCCCGGGGAAAUAAUUUGAGAAAUCUUUGCAUAUUUUAUUUAAAAGCAUGCCACGUUAGGCAGGGUAAUAAUGCAGAGCGGUGGUGAUUAGGUGAGGCCUGGAGGGAUGGCAGCCCGGGACCCCCCCCACACACACACACCCACCCAUUACAGCCCCCCGACCCGCGGUGCUGCACCCCAAAGCCGCAGUGGGGUCGGGGUGUUGGUGUGAGCACGCUGGGCCGGGUGUGCAGCGCCCUGCAGUGCCGUGCAGUGAUCCCCUGCUCUGCACACCGCCUGUCCCGCUAUGGGAUGCUCCGCUCCCCAAAGAAUUGCGGGUGCCCUCGGGGUGCUCCGUGCUGAUGAGUGCUGAUGGGAGCUCCUCCAGAUGGAGCGGAGGGGUCGGGGCGGGCGCUGCUCCCGCUGCAGUUCACA
Molecule: long non-coding RNA, 1927 nt
Organism: Gallus gallus (chicken)
Lineage: Eukaryota; Metazoa; Chordata; Aves; Galliformes; Phasianidae
Exons: 3
Source: RefSeq, a predicted model, not a curated record